GUUCUAUCCUUGAAAACUUAUGAAGAAUUAUUUAUUAUCAAGCCCAUUAGAAAGUGGAUGCAAGUUCAAUAAGAAUUCUUCUGUUCUAUGAAGGUGUCGUAUCCAGGAAUUAAGGUAUAUUUAUUUAACAGAGUCUUUAGCCAAGGGAUGUUUGAUCUGCACUGUUGGUCAGCUGAGUCUUCACGGAUCACAGUUUGUAUGUCAUGAGAUCAGUUGGAGACCCCUGGAAUUAGUAUCUGUGCAUUCAGCAUAAUGCAGAGCUGCAACAGAAGCACAGCUUGCUAGCUCUCCAAGGGACAUCAAAUCAAUGUACCUGUAAGAAAUGAAAAAUGUCUAGACUAGACUAAAGUAGAAACGUGUUUUCAGAGAUCAAGGUAUAUAUACAUAAACUUAAUUUGUGUGGCAGUGCAAGCAAAAAUUGAAUCGGCCCAUGUGUUUCUUAAGCUUGUAAUAUAUAAUUGACUUCUGCAUAUCUGUUUCUUAAAUACUUAUAUCUGAUUAUUCUCUUUCUGUAGAGCUGAAUGCCAAACCUCCUGAAAGCCAAAGCAGAUUUUUCAGUGGACCCUGAGACGAAGGUAUA
Cuculus canorus (common cuckoo) is the source of this 580-nucleotide long non-coding RNA. RefSeq lists it as uncharacterized. The record is from RefSeq and is a predicted model, not a curated record. The transcript is spliced from 3 exons. NCBI's taxonomy places the organism in Eukaryota, Metazoa, Chordata, Aves, Cuculiformes, Cuculidae.